This 72-nucleotide transfer RNA is filed under the name Sphaerodactylus townsendi. Its description in RNAcentral is "tRNA-Ala". It matches the Rfam family "tRNA". From Rfam's summary of the family: Transfer RNA (tRNA) molecules are approximately 80 nucleotides in length. Their secondary structure includes four short double-helical elements and three loops (D, anti-codon, and T loops). Lineage: Eukaryota; Metazoa; Chordata; Lepidosauria; Squamata; Sphaerodactylidae. The record is from RNAcentral.
GGGGCUGUGGCUGAGUGGUGGAGCCUCUGCCUGGCACGCAGAAGGUUCCAGGUUCAAGCCCCGGUAUCCCCA